Molecule: ribosomal RNA, 1517 nt
Filed under: Candidatus Magasanikiibacteriota bacterium
Lineage: Bacteria; Candidatus Magasanikiibacteriota
Description: bacterial SSU rRNA
Rfam family: Bacterial small subunit ribosomal RNA
Source: RNAcentral
UUUAUUGAGAGUUUGAUCCUGGCUCAGGAUGAACGCUGGCGGCGUGUUUAAGGCAUGCAAGUCGUGGGAUCGGCCUUUUUUUUCUUCGGAAUUUUGAGGUACGGACCGGCAAACGGGUGAGUAACACAUUGGUAACCUACCUUCAAGACGGGGAUAGCCCGGCGAAAGCCGGAUUAAUACCCGAUAGUCAUAGGAGAACUUAUGUUUUUCUAUGUAAAUCCUUUUGGGCUUGAAGAGGGGCCUAUGUCUGAUUAGUUAGUUGGUGAGGUAAUAGCUUACCAAGACCGUGAUCAGUAGCAGGCGUGAGAGCGUGACCUGCCUCACUGGGACUGAGACACUGCCCAGACUCCUACGGGAGGCUGCAGUCAAGAAUAUUCGACAAUGGGCGAAAGCCUGAUCGAGCGACGCCGCGUGCAGGAAGAAGCCCCUCGGGGUGUAAACUGCUUUUCUCAGGGAAGAAUUUGUGACGGUACCUGAGGAAUAAGAGGUUGCUAACUCUGUGCCAGCAGCAGCGGUAAUACAGAGACCUCAAGCGUUAUCCGGAUUCAUUGGGCGUAAAGCGUCCGCAGGUGGUUUGAAAAGUUAAUAGUCAAAUCUUGAGGCUUAACUUCGAGGCUGCUAUUAAUACUAUCAAACUAGAGACUGGGAGAGGCAAGCGGAACUAUCGGUGUAGUCGUAAUAAGCGCUGAUAUCGAUAGGAACACCAAAGGCGAAGGCAGCUUGCUAGAACAGUUCUGACACUCAUGGACCAAAGCGUGGGUAGCGAAAGGGAUUAGAUACCCCUGUAGUCCACGCCCUAAACGAUGCGCACUAGGUAUCGGGAGUAUCGACCCUCUCGGUGCCGUUGAAAAAAGCUAACGCGUUAAGUGCGCCGCCUGGGGAGUACGGCCGCAAGGUUAAAACUCAAAGGAAUAGACGGGGACCCGCACAAGCGGAGGAUCAUGUGGUUUAAUUCGAUGGUACGCGGCGAACCUUACCUAGGUUUGACAUGUAGCUGCAAGCUUGCUGAAAGGCGAGCCGCCUUUGAGGGUGCUACACAGGUGCUGCAUGGUUGCCGUCAGCUCGUGCCGUGAGGUGUACCGUUAAGUCGGGUAACGAGCGUAACCCUUGUUCUGUGUUAAAUGCACACAGAAGACUGCCUACGCAAGUAGGAGGAAGGUGGGGACGACGUCAAAUCAGCAUGGCUCUUACAUCUAGGGCUACACACAUGAUACAAUGGCUGGUACAAAGGGUAGCGAAAUCGCGAGAUGGAGCUAAUCUCAAAAAACCAGUCUCAGUUCGGAUUGCAGGCUGAAAUUCGUCUGCAUGAAGUUGGAUUCGCUAGUAAACGCGCAUCAGCCACGGCGCGUUGAAUACGUUCUCGGGUCUUGUACUCACCGCCCGUCACACCACGAAAGUUGACAAUGCCCAAAGGCUCCUUCGGGGGACUAAGGCAGGGUCAGCGAUCAGGGUGAAGUCGUAACAAGGCAUCUGUAGCGGAAGCUGCGGAUGGAUCACCUCCUUUCUGGAGAAAUUUC